RNAcentral lists this ribosomal RNA (253 nucleotides) under uncultured bacterium. RNAcentral's name for it is "partial 16S ribosomal RNA". It matches the Rfam family "Bacterial small subunit ribosomal RNA", at positions 524 to 776 of the family's 1533-position model. The record is from RNAcentral.
UACGGAGGGUGCAAGCGUUAAUCGGAUUUAUUGGGCGUAAAGAGCGCGUAGACGGAGAUGCAAGUCAGAUGUGAAAUCCCGAAGCUCAACUUCGGAACUGCAUUUGAAACUGCAUCCCUAGAGGUUAGACGGAGAAGACGGAAUUCCACAUGUAGCGGUGAAAUGCGUAGAUAUGUGGAAGAACACCGGUGGCGAAGGCGGUCUUCUAGUUUAAACCUGACGUUCAGGCGCGAAAGCAAGGGGAGCAAACAGG